UGGCAGUUCCUUGGAGAAACUAGGGGUGAUUCUAUCAUAAAAAGGGGUGGGGGAGAGUAGAUCAGGCAGACACAAUCACUGAAGGAGGAGAGUACAGGAGAUUUAGAGGAAGAAGAUCUGUGAAGAGGUUUGGGAGGAGUUAAGAAGGGAAAGCAAUCAGUCAUUUUUCCAAAGGCCAGUCUGCAGGGCUGGGACUGAGCACAGGCUGAAAUCAAGGUUGGACUACCUCUCAGCCCUUCUCAAGCCCUCCAGGCCUAGCAGUCUCCAUCUGAUCCUGUAUUGGAAAUGGGCAUGGAAGAUGCCACAACUUCUCAAGCUUUCCCUAGGAAAAGGGGUGGGUGAACUUCUGGCCUGAAGAAUCUGAGGAUGGAAGGUCAACUUUGCUCUUCUCCUGGGUUCUGGAACCAGACCUUCCUAACCUGCUCUGCUCACCUGGAGCCCCAGCCCACUGUCACCCAUGCCCUCAUCUCCAGACUCUUCUUCCAGCAACUAGGCUUGCAAAGCAGGGAUGGUGGCUUGGAGCACCAGCUUCCGUGUCAAGCAGGGCAGGCUGCACUCCCAGCGCCCUGGUGCCUCUGGCUCUCGAGGCUUGUUCCUCAUCUCUAGCUCCCUCACAGAGUUGUCCUGAGGCUCACAAUGGGAACACAUCAAUAAAUUACCUAUUGCAUUAAAAUGAGUUGUUAUUAUUGGCACAAUUGUUAUUGACGCUUAAGCCUGAAGGCAAAUAAAUGAUUUUUAGCUGCAAAAAAAAAAAAA
RNAcentral lists this long non-coding RNA (756 nucleotides) under Homo sapiens (human). RNAcentral's name for it is "long independently transcribed non-coding RNA 2169 (LINC02169)". The record is from RNAcentral. Lineage: Eukaryota; Metazoa; Chordata; Mammalia; Primates; Hominidae.